This is a non-coding RNA of Eggerthella sp. CAG:298, 73 nucleotides long. Lineage: Bacteria; Bacillati; Actinomycetota; Coriobacteriia; Eggerthellales; Eggerthellaceae. The record is from Rfam.
GGGGCAUUAGCUCAGCUGGGAGAGCGCAUGGCUGGCAGCCAUGAGGUCAGGGGUUCGAUCCCCCUAUGCUCCA